CUACCUUCACUGCUUCCAUUUGAAAAAUAGCGGCGGGACUCGGGCUAUGAGUCCGAGAGUUAGAGCAAAAACUUCCGAAAUAUGGGCAUAUUUCAGGCCAAAUGGUAAAAGAGUUGUCUGUACACUCUGUCAAACUUCACUUGGAAACACACAGGAGAUGUUCAAGACGUUGGGAGUGGGUUUUUUCUCUCCUCCAUAUCACUUCCGGGGCUCCAAAGAUGCGCUCACAGAAAAGGAAAAUACAACGAAGCAGUACGCCAUCUUCACAACUCUGAGACAAACUGUAGCAGGCACCAUGAACCGGAGCAAGGACUAACCUCGCCUCAUAACGAGGCUGUGACCUAUAUUUGCCCAGAGCUGUCUGCAAGUCCAGAUUUACUUGACGCUGAUAAUGACGCCAUUGUGUCUGCCCGUAAGACAUAUUACGAGACAGCACGCAGGAGCUACAGGUAGAAACAACCAGAUGUGGCAUCGCGGGCAGAAGCUGUGAAGAGUUCAGUCGGAGUCGGUCGAGAAGAAAAGAGGCUGCUGGAAGCGAAACAGUGCUGCCUGCAGGUGAGGUGGGCAUUUGGAAGUGCACCACCAUAGACAUACAGGACAAGGCACCCAUAGACGUCUGCAAAAUGGACUGAAUUCAGACAGAACACUGCCGGUUACCUACAACUCCGAGGCGGCAGCGGGUUAGAUGUGGACGGUGCUGCUUCUCGUGAGCGUGGGAUAUUUGUUGUGUGUGCUGUGUGUCUCCGAUGCUUUGUACACAGUUUUUUUCUG
Long non-coding RNA from Perca flavescens (yellow perch), 771 nucleotides. RefSeq lists it as uncharacterized. Lineage: Eukaryota; Metazoa; Chordata; Actinopteri; Perciformes; Percidae. The record is from RefSeq and is a predicted model, not a curated record. The transcript is spliced from 5 exons.